This is a non-coding RNA of Oryctolagus cuniculus (rabbit), 1429 nucleotides long. The record is from RefSeq and is a predicted model, not a curated record. Lineage: Eukaryota; Metazoa; Chordata; Mammalia; Lagomorpha; Leporidae.
UGUGCAAGCCUGGAGGAGAGGAGCCUGAGGGAGACCCAGCGGCCCCAGGGUCAGGCCGGGAUGAGGAGAGGCUGCGUGUCCGAGGCUGCCGCGCCGUUUCCCAGGCGCAUUUCUCCUCUUCAGCCCCAUCCGGAAACGACGUCCUUCGCGGACCUCUGUCCCACCAGCAGACCGGACCCCCCUUGGAGGCAGAUUGGACAGUGAGAGAGGGAGACAGAGAGAAGGGUCUUCCUUUUGCCGUUGGUUCACCCUCCAAUGGCCACCGGGGCCGGCGAGCUGCGGCUGGCACUCCACGCUGAUCCGAAGGCAAGAGCUAGGUGCUUCUCCUGGUCUCCCAUGGGGUGCAGGGCCCAAGCACUUGGGCCAUCCUCCACUGCACUCCCUGGCCACAGCAGAGAGCUGGCCUGGAAGAGGGGCAACCGGGACAGAAUCCAGCGCCUCGACCAGGACUAGAGGCGCCGCAGGCAGAGGAUUAGCCUAUUGAGCGGCGGCGCCGGCCGCACCAAACCUUCUGACCUGAGGUGCUCAGGUGGAAAUCUGCGGUGCGGCGACUCCUCCCUGAGAGCCUGUUCAAGCAAUGAGGAGCUAUCCUUGACCCUGCCGGCAGAGCCUGAGUGAGACUCAGAACCCCAGGGUCAGGCCUGGAUCCGGAGAUGCUGGGGCCCAAGUCUGGUGUAUCAGUUACCUUGGGCUUCUGGAAAUUUCUAGGCUCGGUCCUCUUUUUCGGCUCCUUCUGGAAGACUACAUCUCUUACUGAGUUCCUGUUCCAGAAGAACAGAAACGCUCUCUCUGCGACUGCACACACUGAAGAGAAAGCAGAAGCGUAGAGAAACCCCAAGAAUCCUGUGUGCUCUAUUCCAGCCUGUCCAAGGUUCUGAUACCUCAUAACCCUUCUGGAAGCAAUGGCCUUCGCGGGCCUCUGUCCCGCCAGCAGACCAAGCCUGCUUGAAGGCGCAGUCCUCUUCUUUGGCCCCUCUGAAAGACUGCACCUCAGGACCGGGUCCCUGUGUCAGGAACAGAAAGGUUCUUUCUGUGGAGAGUUUGGCACGGUGGCCUUCCUGUCACUGGGCUGCACACAUGGAGGAGAAAGCAGAAGCUUAGAGAACCCCCAAGAAUCCCUCUGUGCUCUGUUCCAGCCUGCCCCCAGAUUCUGACACCUCAUAGUCUUGUGUCCUGAUUCACACCAGUGGGGAGUCUUGAGCUGUUGGGGGAGUCUGAGGAGGAUACCUGGCCACCCUGGGACUGGAACUGACUUUUAAGAGGGACCCUGAGACACCCAUGGUGGACUUUUGAGUGCCGCCUCACGUUGGAGCUGAGUGCUUCCUGCUGGGACCGCGUGAUCUUCCUGGGAUGCCAGGGUGGCACAGCAACCCAUGGUGCUCUGGAUGCUCUUGCUGAAUCUGUGUGUAGCUUAGAAGGUAAAACUGUG